GACCCAGUGGCGGAUGGUCCGCACCUGCACCCCAUUGACGAUUGUAUCCACAGCGUUACUGCGGGAGUUCCUGGUUCCAAUCCAGGCUGGGUCA
Mycena epipterygia is the source of this 94-nucleotide non-coding RNA. NCBI's taxonomy places the organism in Eukaryota, Fungi, Basidiomycota, Agaricomycetes, Agaricales, Mycenaceae. The record is from the annotation of a GenBank genome assembly.